GCCGGGAGUGGUGGCCCACACCUAUAGUCCUGGCUACUCAGGAGGCUGAGGCAGGAGGAUCACUUGAGCCUGGGAGAUUGAGGCUGCAGUGAGCUGUGAUCCCACCACUGCACUCCAGCCUGGGCUACAAAGUGAGACCCUGUCUCAA
RNAcentral lists this signal recognition particle RNA (148 nucleotides) under Gorilla gorilla gorilla (western lowland gorilla). RNAcentral describes it as "Metazoan signal recognition particle RNA". It matches the Rfam family "Metazoan signal recognition particle RNA". Rfam says of the family: The signal recognition particle (SRP) is a universally conserved ribonucleoprotein. The record is from Rfam by way of RNAcentral. Lineage: Eukaryota; Metazoa; Chordata; Mammalia; Primates; Hominidae.